GGAGCUUUAGUUUAAGUAAAAUAUCUGUGUUGCAAGCAGGUGAUGUAGGGGUUCUGCAAGCUCUA
Molecule: transfer RNA, 65 nt
Filed under: Rhabdophis tigrinus (Tiger keelback)
Lineage: Eukaryota; Metazoa; Chordata; Lepidosauria; Squamata; Natricidae
Description: tRNA-Ala
Rfam family: tRNA
About the family: Transfer RNA (tRNA) molecules are approximately 80 nucleotides in length. Their secondary structure includes four short double-helical elements and three loops (D, anti-codon, and T loops).
Source: RNAcentral